CUCCCCUUUCAUUAGGAGCGUGCUGUACUGUAAUUGGGCACGUCUAAAGGAAGGGAGCA
Molecule: microRNA precursor, 59 nt
Filed under: Xenopus laevis (African clawed frog)
Lineage: Eukaryota; Metazoa; Chordata; Amphibia; Anura; Pipidae
Description: Xla-Mir-12480-P1_pre stem-loop
Source: RNAcentral